Molecule: long non-coding RNA, 3754 nt
Filed under: Mytilus galloprovincialis (Mediterranean mussel)
Lineage: Eukaryota; Metazoa; Mollusca; Bivalvia; Mytilida; Mytilidae
Source: RNAcentral
UUUUUUCUAGGUGUACAACUGUGCAAGUAUUGAACAUCAGCUUGAAAUGCAAUGUGACCUAAAAGACAGUAUAAUAAUGGACAGAUGUAAGUAAUGAUAAAAUAGUCAAUGAUAUGGGAAAUGUAUGAAAUUGUAAGAAAAAGUUGACAGGCAUAUUGUUUUACACCUGUCCCUCCGUCGGUCAGUUAACUAUAUAUAUAGGUCAAAGUACAGCCUUCAGCAAUGAUCAUACUGCAUAGUCAUAUAUAAAAAAGGCCCUGAAAUUACAAUUGUAAAAUAAUUCCAAACUAAUGACCUUAAUAUUAAUAUACAAAUAAAAUAACUAAAAACAAAUAUGCAACACAGCAACAAACAACAACCACUGAUUGUCCAGGUUCCUGACUUGGGACAGGCACAGAAGAUAGCAGGAUUAAACAUGUUAGUGGGAUCCAAGCCCUAAUAAAAUCAUAUAUUUUAGUUAUUCUCCUCAAGAAAAUCUAAUAUAAUGUAAUUAACAUCAACCAUUGUCAACACUUUUAAAUGUUGUACUUAACUUUAUAUAUAAAGAAGAUGUGGUAUGAUUGUCAAUGAGACAACUUUCCACAAGAGACCAAAUGACACAGAAAUUAAAAACUAAAGGUCACUGUACCCUCUUCAACAAUGAGCAAAGCCCAUACUGCAUAGUCAGCUAUAAAAGGCCCCAAAAUGACAAAUGUAAAACAAGAAAACUAACGGCCUAAUUUAUGUACAAAAAAUGAAGAAAAAAAAAAUAUGUAACACUUCAACAAUUGACAACCACUGCAUUACAGGCUCCUGACUUGGAACAGGCACAUACAUUACAUUGUACCUUAAUAUUUUAAUUCCUUAAUAUUUUUUAUUCACUUAUUGGUAUACAAUCUAUUGUAUGUUUUUUUCUUUUUUUCUUUAAAAAGUUAUAUGCAAGUGGGGCAUAAUCUGUGUCCCAUGGACCCAAUCAUGACAUUUAUUUAUUCAGAGAAUUUUGAAAGGAAUAAAUAAUGAAUAAUUUUUCAUAAUUUUUUUUCAUCUUUUAGAAAAGUCGUCUCCUGAAACAACUGAGACAAAUCUACCUAAAUUUGGCCACACUCAUCAUUAGGGUAUGUAUAUAUAGUUUUAAAUGUGUUUGAUGACCCUGCCAACCUACAUGGCAGACAUGGCUAAAAAUAGAAAAUAGGAGGAAAAUGCAGUGUUUACUUAUAUCUCUGAAACUAAAGCAAAAGUAUAACAGUUGCAUUAUUUCAUGCAUCAAUUGUAAAUGAGAAUAUCAGGUGAGCGAUAAAGGCCCAUUGGAGCCUCAACUUUCUAUAGCCAUUAUUGUUAUAGCUGGUCAGUGGUCAUAAACCUAUGAAAAUAAGUCAAUUAUUUAACCUCAGAGCACUACCAACAGAUUCUUAUCCAGUGUAUUUGAUCAUGUUGAUGAAUAAAUUUUAUUACAACUCGUUAACAGGGCAAGAUAUGGAAAUUUAUUUUUCUUCUGGUUUUAUAAUAUUAAGAAAAAACAAAGGAAAAUGAUAUUUUGAUAAACAUUAAACAUGUUGUUGUGGUUUUGUGCUCUCUUGAACCAUCAGAUUAUUACUGUACUGCAAUAAAAAAAAAACAUUAAAGAAUAUCAGGGAUUUACGGGAACUUGAAGUAAUUGAAAACUUGUUCAAAUCCCAAACUGCACUUUAACUUUACUUUGUAUCAACCAUUAAGUGUUGUGAAAUGUUUACACAAUGCUUGUUAACACCAAACACUGAUCAAGUCACUUUCGUCAUUCUCAUAUUAUCAUGAAUAUGUUACUUUUUUAAUAGGAAAAAGGAUAUAUAUUAGAGAUAUAUUUACAAGCAGGGACAUCUGUGUCCCAUGGACACAUUCUUGUUUUAUUUAUUACAUAUUUUAGUGUAUUAAAGUAAUUAUACUGCUUCCACCUUUCAAUAUUCUAACAAAGCUCUAUCUCAUUAAUGGAUAAAUAAAUGAUACUAGUCAUGACCUCAACAGAUAAUUUUUUUUCAGGUUCUCUGGUCGUAAGAACCUGUUGGCCACACACAUGAAGAUUUUCAUUGAUCCUGCUUUCAGCUAAAUAUCAGAAAAAUUAAGAACAAAGGAAAAUAUGCUGAAACUGUACAGUCACCGGUCAGGAUUAUUUCAGAAGUGAAAUUAUAAUACAAUUUAUUUUACUGGUUAAUUCCUUUGAUUUGUAAUUUUAAACAACACACAGAGGCUUUGCAUUAUUGUUUUACAAGAGAGACACCAAAAGAUGCGGUCAACAUUUAUCAUUUUUAUCAAAAUACGCCCAGGACAAACCAUGGAUACACUUAACUUGAAAUAUGGUGCUUUCAUACCAAAAUUGCCUGGAAGUAAAAGAAAUAAAGAACCAUUCAUGUCAGCAAUCAGGGGAUAAGAUGAAAGAAUGCAGAAUAAGGUACUGUAAUAUUCAGUCUUAAUAAGAGUCCUGCUUCUCUAUAUAUACAUAUGCUUUUUGUUAUGCCCCGUCGUAGCGGAGGGGGCAUUAAGUUUUAUCCUUGUAUGUUUGUACAUAAUAUUAGAUAUAAGAAGAUGUGGUAUGACUUCCAAUGAGACAACUCUCCAUCCAAGUCACAAUUUGUAAAAGAAAAACAAUUAUAGGUCAAAGUACAGUCUUCAACACAGAGCCUUGGAUCACACCAAACAGUAAGCUAUUAUUAAUUUAAGGACCCAAAACAUUACUAUUGUGAAACCAGCUGUCAAACAUGAAAACCAACGGUCUAAUCUAUAUAAAAAAAAGAGAAAAGACAAACACUUAUAGUGCAUGAUUUUCUCACUGUGUUGAAGACCCAUUGGUGGACUUCGGUUGUUGUCUGCACUUUGGUCAGGUUGUUGACAUAUUUCCCCCCAAUUCCAUUCUCAAUUUUAUGAAGAAGUUAUUGAACUUUAUUCUUGAAAAAGAGACGGAGGUAUCAUGUUCACAUGGCACAUCUGUUUAUUUGUUUUAGUUCACUAUAAACUUAAGUUUGCUUAACCAAAUGUACUGAAACUUAAACACAAUGCUUAUUACCACAAAAAUCAGAUCAAGUACUCAUUUGGGUACUGUGUGUCACUUUUACCAUUCUUGAUUUAUGACCCUUUAAAAUGUUAUAUGCAAGCAGGGGCAUAAUCUGUGUCCCAUGGACCCAUUCAUCAUUUAUUUAUUCAGAAAACUCUAAAAGGAAUAAAUAAUCCAUAAUGUUCAUACAGAUAAAACAUAUUGUUUUAAGGAUUUUAAUCUGUUUAUUAAGUCACAUGCAAACUCAAUAUUGCUCCCCUUUUAAAUCUCGAUCAGUGUUUGUAAAAAGAAAAAAGUAACAUAAAAGAAUGCAGGUUGCCAGGAACAUUCAAAUUGGAGAAAGGGAAAAGAACACAACUCUACGCUAAAUAAUUUUGAAAACUUAUUGGCUAUACUAUCUUUAUUUAUAAAAAUGUCAAAAACAUUAUGUACAUUAUGAUCAUGUUGAUUGUGUGAAACGUCACACAAGGCAAUCAAUCAAAAUGGUCAGGGGGAAAAGAAGUUUUAUUAUAAAUGUCAAAUGGUUAUAGUCUCAACCUAUCAACAUAAUCAAAAUUGUUGAUUUCACAGUUAAUAUUUACUUUUAGCAUGUUCAGCAGAAUAGAACGUUUUUGUUAUAUUUUAUUAAAUGUUAAUUUACUUUGCUCUUAUAGGCAGGAGUGAAAGGAAGAGAAAGCUAGGCAUCAGUAAAGAAACAGAUCAAUUUAUAAUAUGUAAUAAUUCCAUCUGAAUAUAACAAACAUUGCACAUGCU